AGAGUUUGAUCCUGGCUCAGGAUGAACGCUGGCGGUCUGCUUAACACAUGCAAGUCGAACGGAACUUUUCGGAGUUCAGUGGCGGACGGGUGAGUAACGCGUGAGAAUCUGCCUUCUGGUCGGGGACAACCACUGGAAACGGUGGCUAAUACCGGAUGAGCCUACGGGUAAAAGAUUUAUUGCCAGAAGAGGAGCUCGCGUCUGAUUAGCUAGUUGGUGAGGUAAAGGCUCACCAAGGCAUCGAUCAGUAGCUGGUCUGAGAGGAUGACCAGCCACACUGGGACUGAGACACGGCCCAGACUCCUACGGGAGGCAGCAGUGGGGAAUUUUCCGCAAUGGGCGAAAGCCUGACGGAGCAAGACCGCGUGAGGGAGGAAGGCCCUUGGGUUGUAAACCUCUUUUCUUGGGGAAGAAAAAAAUGACGGUACCCAAGGAAUCAGCAUCGGCUAACUCCGCGCCAGCAGCCGCGGUAAUACGGAGGAUGCAAGCGUUAUCCGGAAUUAUUGGGCGUAAAGCGUCCGCAGGUGGCACUUCAAGUCUGCUGUCAAAGGUCGGGGCUUAACCCCGGGAAGGCAGUGGAAACUGAAGCGCUAGAGUGUCGUAGGGGUAGAGGGAAUUCCCGGUGUAGCGGUGAAAUGCGUAGAGAUCGGGAAGAACAUCGGUGGCGAAAGCGCUCUACUGGACGACAACUGACACUCAGGGACGAAAGCUAGGGGAGCGAAUGGGAUUAGAUACCCCAGUAGUCC
This 746-nucleotide ribosomal RNA is filed under the name uncultured bacterium. RNAcentral describes it as "bacterial SSU rRNA". It matches the Rfam family "Bacterial small subunit ribosomal RNA", at positions 8 to 796 of the family's 1533-position model. The record is from RNAcentral.